This 2064-nucleotide long non-coding RNA is filed under the name Homo sapiens (human). Its description in RNAcentral is "non-protein coding lnc-SEM1-1:1". The record is from RNAcentral. Lineage: Eukaryota; Metazoa; Chordata; Mammalia; Primates; Hominidae.
AUGAAGAUCAUGGACUUCCGAUACAAAUUACAGCAGCCUGGGCGACAGAACAAGACUCUGUCUCCAAAAUAAAUAAAUAAAUAAAAUAUUUCUCAAGGAUUCAGAUUUGGGGAUUUUACUGCCAAGUAGCCUGGCUUUCUCAUUAUUGAUUAACCUACAAAGAAAAAUUUGAUAUAUCUGAUGAAAAUCAGUUAUAUUGUACCUACAAAAACAUCUCUUCCAUAUUACUUGAUGUAUUUUAAUGUCACUGAAUCCAUUGGUUUAUCUUUAUCUCUUAGAAGCUCUUAAAGUCACAGGAAUUCUAGUCCAUAUGAUCAGAUUAACCAAAAAUUCAGGCAGCUACUCCGUUCAAACAGGAAAGAAAAAACUGAAAAUGAAUUGUUGUAUUGAAUCUGCUUUUUCACAAGAGACAACUAGGCGUAAUGGUUCUGAGCGUGGGUUAGAAAUUGGGCAAGUCGCGUUCACAUUCUUUUACUACCUUGAAGAGAAGUCUCUGCCUCCAUCUCAUCUCUAGAAAGAUGGGAAUAAUAUAGCUUGUGUCAGCAUGAUUGGGGGAUUGAAGGAGAUGAUGUCUGUGAAGAGUUUAGCACAGUGCCUCCUACAUCAGAAGUGCUUGACACGUGUCUGGCUCUUGCUUCUCCAGGAAGGAGAGGAGGGGAGAAGAGAGAGUUUGCAGGGCCGUAGUUAUUCAAGUAGUUACAGCUAUCUCUUCUUUCUGGUCACACUGCUGGGUAAUUUGUUCUUGAAAAGUGUCUCAAGAUGACUGCUCCCACUUAGUAGCUGGAAAAUCACAUCCUUCCAGAAAGGGAUCUAGAGGGCAGACAUGGGUGAAGUGUACAUUGUUAGAGGGCUGACUGGAAAUAAUCAGUGCAGAGAUCACUGUGGGCAGAGCCACAGCCUUCAGGUCCUAUAAAGGGCAGAACGAUAGGAAUAAUCUACUGCAUAGGAAAACCAAAGAAAAGAAGGAGGACGAAAAACACUCUGGGGAGGAAAAAAUAAUUGGGGUUCACUACUGGGAUAUCUUUCCCUCUGCUAGAAGAUCCUUCAUACAUAAUGAAUCACAGUUUGGAAAUGGAGCCUUUGAAAAAAAAUCCUUACACAACUGGUAAGAGAGAAGUCUCAUACCAGCCACUGAAUUUUUGCAGAAAUUUGGGCCUCCCUCCGCAAGUGUACUUUCAGACUCAAAUUCCUCCAGCAUCCAGGACCUCUUGAUUAACUAUGUACUCUCAAUAAAGAGAAAAAGAUGAGACCUCUGGGAAGCAAGAAUUGGUAGAAGCUGGGCCUGGUACAGUGGCUCACACCUGUCACCCCAGCACUUUGGGAGGCCAAGGUGGGUGGAUCACUUGAGGCCAGGAGUUUGAGACCAGCCUGGGCAACAUGGCGAAGCCUAUCUCUACUAAAAUUACAAAAAAACUAGCCAGGUAUGGUGGCGUACACCUGUAAUCCCAGCUACAGCAGGAGGCUGAGGCACGAGAAUCACUUGAACCCAGGAGGCGGAGGUUACAUUGAGCCAAGAUUGUGCCACUGCACUCCAGCCUGGGUGACAGAGAGAGACUCUGUCUUAAAAAAAAAAAAAAGAAAAAGAUGCUGAAAUGUAUCAAAACCAGCCUACUCGUCAUCCUCUUUUAAAAGAAAAAGAUGAGUAAACCAUCGCAUUACUCAUUAGGAUGUUACCAGAUAUGUGAGUUGGUCAGAGGGACUCCUAGCUACAAGUAGAAGGAGUCCACUCUACCAUUGACUGUGUGCAAAGUAGCACAUUUUAUCUACCUUUUUAAGAUACUCGGCCGGAUGCAGUGGCUCACGCCUGUAAUCCCAGCACUCUGGGGGGCUGAGGCAGGCAGAUCACCUGAGGUCAGGAGUUCAAGACCAUCCUGGCCAACUUAGUGAAACCCUGUCUCUGCUAAAAAUACAAAAAUUAGCCAGAUGUCGUGGCACGCACCUGUAGUCCCAGCUACUUGGGAGACUGAGGCCUGAGAAUCGCUUGAACCUGGGAGAUGGAGUUUGCAGUGAGCCAAGAUCAUGUCACUACACUCCAGCCUGGGUAAGAGAGUGAGACUCUGUCUU